This 199-nucleotide ribosomal RNA is filed under the name uncultured bacterium. RNAcentral's name for it is "partial 16S ribosomal RNA". It matches the Rfam family "Bacterial small subunit ribosomal RNA", at positions 312 to 507 of the family's 1533-position model. The record is from RNAcentral.
CCCGGGGCCGUCCCGCCGCCCCCGCCCGCUUACGGGAGGCAGCAGUAGGGAAUAUUGGGCAAUGGAGGCAACUCUGACCCAGCCACGCCGCGUGGAGGAUGAAGGUGCUAUGCAUUGUAAACUUCUUUUGUCAAGGGAGAAAGUGCUUGAUUAAUCAGGAUUGACGGUACUUGGCGAAUAAGCAUCGGCUAACUACGUG